RNAcentral lists this long non-coding RNA (2871 nucleotides) under Pelobates cultripes (western spadefoot toad). Lineage: Eukaryota; Metazoa; Chordata; Amphibia; Anura; Pelobatidae. The record is from RNAcentral.
CCAGACUGCAGCUAGAGCCCAUCAUCAUCCUCAUCUGGUUGUAAGUAGGCAAUCUAGUAUAUUAUUCGUGGCACUAAGCUCUAAUUUACCUCACAUUAAAGAAACACUAUAGUCCCCAGAACCACUUCAGCGUAGUGGUUCUGGUGUCUAUAGCCUGUCCCUGCAGGCCUUUUAAUGUAAACACGGCGUCACUGCAGCACUGGCGUUAGUUAACAUGGCAAAUCAUAUGGCUGGGGCAUUGUGAUGUCACAUGGGGGGCGGCAAACUUUACCUUUGCCUAGGGCGGCAAAAAUCCUUGUACCGGCCCUGGCUGGAGGGGGCUGUGUGAGCUGUGGCCGCACAGUGUCCCAUGGUAGUUAGGGUGCCGUGCGGCCAGCACAGCUCACUCAAGCAAACAGCUGAUAAACUGGCCGCACGGAGGAAAUGUGUAUGUGUGACUGUCUGCCUGUGACUGUGUGUGACUGUCUGCCUGUGACUGUGUGUGACUGUCUGCCUGUAACUGAGUGUGUGACUGUCUGCCUGUAAAUGUGUGUGUGGGGCUGCAGGGAUUUUGUAGAAGGGGUAGGGGGUUUUGUAUUGGGACAGGAGUCUUUAUAAGGGGGGAUAAGCAGGUGAUUUGUGGAAGGGGGUUGCGGGGGUUUUGCAGAUGGGGCAGUACAGGAUUUGUAGAAGGGGCAGAGGUUUUGUAGGAGGGGCAGGGCAGGACAAGGGUUUUGUAGGAGGGGCUGACAGCGGUUUUGCAAAGUUUACAAAUUGUAAAAAUAAAAGAAAUAAAACCUUUAACAUUUUUUACAGGUUUUUUUGGGUGGAACCGUUAGUAAUGUGCAGUGUAUGAAUGUAUGACAGAGCUCCACAGCAAUGUACCCCGUAGUAAUGUGCAGUGUAUGACAGAGCUCCACAGCAAUGUAACCCUUAGUACUGUGCAGUGUAUGAGUGUAUCACAGAGCUCCACAGCAAUGUAACCCUUAGUACUGUGCAGUGUAUGAGUGUAUCACAGAGCUCCACAGCAAUGUAACACUUAGUAAUGUGCAGUGUAUGACAGAACUCCACAACAAUGUAACACUUGGUAAUGUGCAGUGUAUGACAGAACUCCACAGCAAUGUAACCCUUAGUAAUGUGCAGUGUAUGACAGAACUCCACAGCAAUGUGACCCAUAGUAAUGUGCAGUGUAUGACAGAACUCCACAGCAAUGUAACCUUUAGUAAUGUGCAGUGUAUGAGUGUAUGGCAGAGCUCCACAGCAAUGUGACCCAUAGUAAUGUGCAGUGUAUGACAGAGCUCCACAGUCAGUGACUGAAAUUAAGCAGCAUACUAAAAAAAGAGUAACAAAAUUAUCUAUAUGUAUAAUUCAUUUCUCCCCACAUCUUACACUGACGAGCCAUAACUUUAAAAACACCGACCUAAUAUUAUGUAGGUCCCCCUCGUGCUGCCAAUACAGCUUUAAUGUAUCAAGACAUGGACUCAACAAGAACUCUGAACGUGUCCUGUGGGAUCUGACAUCAAAACGUUAGCAGCAGAUCCAGUGGAAGAGGUCACUGCCAUCGGGGAAUACCAUUGCUAUGAAGGUGUGUACAUGGUCUGCAACAAUCUCUAGGUAGAUGUUAAGCAUCAAAGUAAUAUCCAAUGGCAGAACCCAAGGUUUCCCAGCAGAACAUUGCCUAGUGCAUAACACUGCCUCCGCCGGCCUGCCUUCUUCCUACUGCCAUCCACCUGAUCUAAAAGAAAAUAUUGCUCCAUGGUCCAGUUCUGAUGCUCACAUCCUCAUUGACUGCAUUUUUAGCAGUGGACAUGGGCCAUCAUGGGCACUCUAACUGGCCUGUGGCUACGCAGCCCCAUACGCAGCAAACUGUGAUGCACUGGGUGUUCUAAUACCUUUAUGUCAUGGCCACCAUUAAGUUUUUUAGCAAUUUGAGCUACAGUAUCUCUUCUGUGUGAUCGUAACAGACAAGCUAGCCUUUGCUUCCUACGUGCAUCACUGGGCCUUGGACAACUAUAUGCUGACGUAAGUUCACCGGUUGACCUUCCUUGCACCACUUUUGGUAGGUACUAACCACUAUACACCAAGAACACCCCACAAUACUUUCUAUUUUGGUGAUGUUCUCACUCUGUUGUCUAGCUGUCACUAUUUGGCCCUUGUCAAAGUCACUCAGAUCUUUUCUGUUGUCCAUUUUUCCUGUUUCCAACACAAGAAAUUCAAGAACUGACUCUUCACUUGCUGUCUAAUACAUCCCACCACAUGACAGGUGACAUUGUACUUAUAUAAUCAAUGUUAUUCACUUGUCAGUAGUUUUAAUGUUGGGGCUGAUCAGUAUAUAUCUUAAUAGUAAUGAUGCUGGCAUGGAUUAUCCCCAAUCAAUCACACAUGGUCAUCCUGACUAUGGUGACCCUGUCAGAACAUGAUUGACACUCCAACACAUUGGAUUCUCUGACAGUGUGGUGACACUGCCAGAAAUUUACAAUCAUUCACAUCUGUUUAGUUGACAAUAUGGUGACCGUAGAAUUACCACAAUCCACCACUUGUCAACAACCUGUCAGAUCUGUAAUACAUUGCUGGGUGCAAUCUCAAGGGGCCCCAUUAGUAGUAACAAAAGACACACAACACCAGUUAUAAAACAAUUUUACUCCACCCAGGUAAAUCUGACAUCUAUUUCUGUAGUGAGAGACCCAAGGAAAUUACUUUAGGUCUCUAUCCCUAUUAUUCCAGAACAUAUAUAUCAACCUGAAAUGGAGGGAUGCCCACCUGCCCCUAUUUCAGGUUAAUUUUAAAUAAUAAAUUAGAUAGAUAUCUAUCUACACCGUAUAUAUUUUCACAUUGCAUACUGAGGGUAUUCUAACGAUUAUUCUUAUUCUUCUAGGAGGACCAGAGCUUGAU